This is a long non-coding RNA of Scylla paramamosain (green mud crab), 1213 nucleotides long. RefSeq lists it as uncharacterized. The transcript has 3 exons. NCBI's taxonomy places the organism in Eukaryota, Metazoa, Arthropoda, Malacostraca, Decapoda, Portunidae. The record is from RefSeq and is a predicted model, not a curated record.
UUGCCACCACGUAUAAGUCCGGUCCCCUCCUUCCUCUAUUACACCAAUAACAACCAAAGUCAGAGUAAUGUGCCCCAGUGACCGUCUUAACAACUUCCUUCUGAUAAAAAAAAGAGAAAAAAAAGAACUCUAACAAAACUCGUUACUUUGACCUAUAACACCCCCGUCCCUUCCUCCUCACCCAUAAGAACACUACCAAAAACACCCCCAAAAGUCUACCAACAAUAACACAACUUGAGGACGCUGUAGGAUAUCGUUUCCCGAGAGUGGCAACGACGGGAGAGGGAAAGGAGGAGAGGGGUUCGUCUGGCAGCGAGGGGAGAUUCGGGCAGUGUGGGGUCAGUCUCGCUUCAGCCGCCGUAGCGUGAGGGUGGCAGAGCGGAGUUGAGGAAGGCAAGUCUGAGCUGAGUCGUGCGUGCGUUUCUCUCGCUCUCUCUUUUAAAAAAUCAGUAACUUGAAUUCCUGCAAACUGUUAACAUUCCCGACUGUGUAAAAGGACGGAAUGGUCUAAAGGCUAAGUAUUGUUUAUAUGUAAUUGUUGAAAAUCUUAGACCAAGAGUGAGAUAAUCAAGGUUUUAACGAGACACAACUUUUUGCAAAUAUUCCGAAAGACGAGUGAACGAAAAAAAAAAAAUAAAUAAAUAAAAUAAAAAAAAUAAAAAGAAAUUACCAAUAAAAUCAUGAAUAUUUCGAGUGCCUCCUUCGUGACCUGACCUUCUGACUUCAAGGGCAGAAAUAUAGAAAUAAAUAAAUAAAUAAAUACAAAAAUGGACUGUUUGAAAUAUUAGGAAAAAGACUACCUUCGCGACUUUUAUUGACCCAAAAGUGACCUCGUGGUGGCGUCAUCUGGUGGUGACCUGACCCUCACCCUCCCGCCCCUGACUUGCCGCGGGCGUGAUGAGGGCGGCGCGUGAGUGACCAUCCCUCCCGCCCACCCUCCCGCCCACACCUCCAAGAAGGUCCCCCGCCUCUUCACGCUCAGAGAUGCAGCCUCCAAGGGUCGGCGGAGGAUGCAGGGCAGGACGGCCGGUGGUGAUAGCGGCUACAGCUAUUUCCAUCAUGCUGUGUCUUUUGCCUAAGCUCUCGUCCUGCACGCCUGCCCCGCCUAUUACUCCCACAGCGACGCCUUCAGAAGACGUGGCGGAACCCCAGUGGAUCCCGACAGGAGGAGGAGGAGGAGGAGGAGGAGGAGGAGGAGGAGGAGGAGGAGGAG